RNAcentral lists this non-coding RNA (163 nucleotides) under chicken gut metagenome. Its description in RNAcentral is "Lysine riboswitch". It matches the Rfam family "Lysine riboswitch aptamer". From Rfam's summary of the family: Riboswitches are metabolite binding domains within certain messenger RNAs that serve as precision sensors for their corresponding targets. Allosteric rearrangement of mRNA structure is mediated by ligand binding, and this results in modulation of gene expression. This family includes riboswitches that sense lysine in a number of genes involved in lysine metabolism, including lysC. The record is from RNAcentral.
UCAGAGGUGCGGCCUGCAAGAGUAUAUGUGCGGAGAGAAACCUUCUUCUGUGAAACACAUAAAAAGGGUUUGCCGCCGAAGGAAAAUGUAAGGGUUUUUACAUUUUGCCUGGUUCUGCGUUUAAGAGACGCCGGACUGUCAUCACAGGUUUGAUGGAGAGCUG